GUGAGCAGAAGAGGUAUAAGUGACUUUUUCCCUACCAUGGGGAAAGUCAUCAUGUUUUCCAAAAAUCCUCAUUUUCAAUCUGUAAUACAUGAAUGAUCAGAUUUUUAACUUAACUCCUGCAGUUAUAGCAAGAACUUAACACUUAAUAGAUCUCGGAGGCUCUCCACAGGAGAGAAAAUUUCCCUGAAAUUGGUCCUCUCAUGUGCCUCAGCUAGGUAAAUAUUUUCAACCGUGCCUCCACAAGGUCUUCCUUGUGUGAACCCUCAAAUACCGCAGGUUCUGCCAGCUGCUGUUAGAAAAACAGGUCGUGCAUUUGUGCAUGCUCAGUGUUUCCUCGGGGAGCUGGCUUCUGAACACAGCCAUUUGUACUUGGUACCUGAGAUAUUUUUCCCAUGAAAUGAAACAGUCUUUUGAUGGUGUUGAGGAAGAGCCACAGCUCUGGCUAAAGCUGAGCAAAUAACAUGCAGUUUUAUCUAAGUGAGAUAAUAGAUCUGGGAUAGCAGUGAAUAGAGCAGACUCUGAAAGGGUGAGUUUUGUUGAUGAAGGAGAUACCAAGAUACACAAUGAAGACUACAGGAAAAUUGGUGUCUUUCAUCUGGCUGCUGUGAGAACUACUGUGUUAAGCUGUCCUUGUUCAAUGAAGUGUUUGAGAAACUAGUGGAGUGCAUCACUGUGUCUGAAUUACCUGUAGUCUCACUGCUAAAUGAAGUUCCCAGAAGAGUGUUGACACAGCCAGCAUAAAAUGUGUUUGACUGUUGCUUGACAGCAAUGAAAAACAUGCCCACACAACAGUGUAAGGUAUCCUUAGAGGCGUUUUUAACUCUUUCCUUAGUUUUAAUUUGCAGGUAGAUUAUAUGUUCUUGAAAUUCUGUGAUGAUGUUUAAUUGUUUUUAUUCCUAAUCCUGCUGGAAAAUGCUGGUAUGGGAAACCACUACAAGUUAACAUACUUUUUGCUAAUGGUAGGCUCUCUACACCUCUUAGAACUGCAACAUUGCAUGUAAGAGGCUUUUGGUGUACAAGGUGACUGCUUCAGCAAUUCCAUCAGACCCAUCAAUCUGUACAGAUGGCUACACAGGCGGCUUUGGGGAUGAGCCAGGCUGUUAGUGCAGAUGAAUGGGCAGAGGCAUCUAUGGAUGGUGAUGGAGAAGAGUAUGUUACUGGAAAACAUGACCCAGAGUUCCGAAGCUCUGGUUAUCCCUAUGCCACCCAGUAUGCAAUAGCGGUGUUGUCCCACCUAGCGAGGCAGAAGGACUUUGCACUCUGGGAAGGGAUGUCUCAGGCAUGGAAAGAUGUCCAUGAACUGUCUAGGAGAUCAGAAUUCACAUAGUGUGGGACAGAUUCCAUGGGUUGCUGGGAGGUAGAAAAUGUAGGAAGAACUAUAGUAAAUUCAAUACCUUAGCAGUUUUUGAGCCUGAGUUGUACUUUUUUUUUUUUCUUAACCUGUACAUGCAGUGCUUUUGUACUUCUGUCCUUAUCUGAGAGCACUAGAGUGUUAAUGUAUCCUUUAGUAUGUUGGGCUGAACUAAAGUGACUUUGAUUUUCCUGUUACAAAAACUCAUUUGGCUGUA
Anas platyrhynchos (mallard) is the source of this 1568-nucleotide long non-coding RNA. RefSeq lists it as uncharacterized. The record is from RefSeq and is a predicted model, not a curated record. NCBI's taxonomy places the organism in Eukaryota, Metazoa, Chordata, Aves, Anseriformes, Anatidae.